This 253-nucleotide ribosomal RNA is filed under the name uncultured bacterium. Its description in RNAcentral is "partial 16S ribosomal RNA". It matches the Rfam family "Bacterial small subunit ribosomal RNA", at positions 524 to 776 of the family's 1533-position model. The record is from RNAcentral.
UACGUAGGGGGCAAGCGUUAUCCGGAAUUACUGGGUGUAAAGGGUGAGUAGGCGGCAUGGUAAGCCAGAUGUGAAAGCCUUGGGCUUAACCCGAGGAUUGCAUUUGGAACUAUCAAGCUAGAGUACAGGAGAGGAAAGCGGAAUUCCUAGUGUAGCGGUGAAAUGCGUAGAUAUUAGGAAGAACACCAGUGGCGAAGGCGGCUUUCUGGACUGAAACUGACGCUGAGGCACGAAAGCGAGGGGAGCGAACAGG